ACUGGAAUCUCGGGCCCGUUCCAUUUUUCACCCUCUGCCGUGUAUAUGUUACCUGUUUAUGGAGAACACAAAUCCAGCAAAUGUGGAAAUGCUGAUGAGAAAGAAGAAUGCAACCGAUGAUAAAGACAUUACAAAUUAUUCCUGUUAAGAGGAGGCCUCUCUUCCUAAAUGUACAUAUGUAUGUAUCAAUACUACAUACAACUUCAGUCAAUGGUAUCCGUUUCAACUGAACAAGGGACGGGAGAAGAUGGCCUGCUAUAAAUAUGUAGCCAUAUCACAACCCAUGCUGAUCCUAAACAGGCAAAAGAG
Molecule: long non-coding RNA, 309 nt
Organism: Folsomia candida
Lineage: Eukaryota; Metazoa; Arthropoda; Collembola; Entomobryomorpha; Isotomidae
Exons: 3
Source: RefSeq, a predicted model, not a curated record